AGCGAACGCUGGCGGCAGGCUUAACACAUGCAAGUCGAGCGGACCUUUCGGGGUCAGCGGCGGACGGGUGAGUAACGCGUGGGAACGUGCCUUCCGGUUCGGAAUAACCCUGGGAAACUAGGGCUAAUACCGGAUACGCCCUUAUGGGGAAAGGUUUACUGCCGGAAGAUCGGCCCGCGUCUGAUUAGCUAGUUGGUGGGGUAACGGCCUACCAAGGCGACGAUCAGUAGCUGGUCUGAGAGGAUGAUCAGCCACACUGGGACUGAGACACGGCCCAGACUCCUACGGGAGGCAGUAGUGGGGAAUAUUGGACAAUGGGCGCAAGCCUGAUCCAGCCAUGCCGCGUGAGUGAUGAAGGCCUUAGGGUUGUAAAGCUCUUUUAUCCGGGACGAUAAUGACGGUACCGGAGGAAUAAGCCCCGGCUAACUUCGUG
Molecule: ribosomal RNA, 433 nt
Filed under: uncultured bacterium
Lineage: Bacteria
Description: partial 16S ribosomal RNA
Rfam family: Bacterial small subunit ribosomal RNA
Source: RNAcentral